This 484-nucleotide ribosomal RNA is filed under the name uncultured bacterium. Its description in RNAcentral is "partial 16S ribosomal RNA". The record is from RNAcentral.
GUAGUUAGCCGGGGCUUCCUCCUUGGCUACCGUCACUUUCUUCGUCACCAAGGACAGAGGUUUACAAUCCGAAGACCUUCUUCCCUCACGCGGCGUUGCUGGGUCAGGCUUGCGCCCAUUGCCCAAUAUUCCCCACUGCUGCCUCCCGUAGGAGUCUGGACCGUGUCUCAGUUCCAGUGUGGCCGAUCAGCCUCUCAGCUCGGCUACCCAUCGUUGGCUAGGUGGGCCGUUACCCCGCCUACUACCUAAUGGGACGCGAACCCCUCCUUCUGCGGAUUGCUCCUUUGACCCCUGAGCCAUGCGACUCUGUGGUCUUAUGCGGUAUUAGCACUUGUUUCCAGGUGUUAUCCCCCUCAACUGGUCAGGUUGUUCACGCGUUACUCACCCGUUCGCCACUAAGCUAUAUCCGAAAACAUAGCUCCGUUCGACUUGCAUGUGUUAGGCACGCCGCCAGCGUUCAUCCUGAGCCAUAAUCAAACUCUGA